AUUGAACGCUGGCGGCAGGCCUAACACAUGCAAGUCGAGCGAGAGGCGGACGGGCGAGUAAUGUAUGGGGACUGGGCGAUCGAGGGGGAUAACUACGGGAAACGGUAGCUAAUACCGCAUACUAUCGGAUAACUCAUUAGGGAUUGGCUAUUAGGUGAGGUAAUGGCUUACCUAGGCGACGAUCCCUCGCUGGGCUGAGAGGAUGAUCAGCCACACUGGGACUGAGACACGGCCCAGACCCCUACGGAGGCAGCAGUGUGGAAUAUUGCACAAUGGGCGCAAGCCUGAUGCAGCCAUGCCGCGGGUAUGAAGAAGGCCCUAGGGUUGUAAAGUACUUUCAGUCGGGAGGCGUUACCGACAGAAGAAGCACCGGCUAACUCCGUGCCAGCAGCCGCGGUAAUUC
RNAcentral lists this ribosomal RNA (403 nucleotides) under uncultured bacterium. RNAcentral's name for it is "partial 16S ribosomal RNA". It matches the Rfam family "Bacterial small subunit ribosomal RNA", at positions 30 to 526 of the family's 1533-position model. The record is from RNAcentral.